UCUUUUGGUCCUCUAAUAUUUUGGGGGUUGGCCCUUGGCUUGUGACUUCAUAAAUACAUCUUCAUUUUUCUAUAAUUUAAACUAACAGGACAACAUUUUCUGGGCAAAAAGAAAAAUUCUGCUGGGAUGGAUACUUUGGGAGAUGGGAAUUCUUUCUUACUGCCCCUGUGGCUCAGCAUGGCCAGCCGACCCAGAAAGAUUUCUCUGAAGAAUGUGGAGCUUCACUAGCCUUUUGGAAAUGUGUCUGAACUAUUUCUGUCUCCAUCUGCUUUGUUUUUA
This 279-nucleotide long non-coding RNA is filed under the name Homo sapiens (human). Its description in RNAcentral is "HSALNT0156257". The record is from RNAcentral. Lineage: Eukaryota; Metazoa; Chordata; Mammalia; Primates; Hominidae.